This 301-nucleotide ribosomal RNA is filed under the name uncultured bacterium. Its description in RNAcentral is "partial 16S ribosomal RNA". It matches the Rfam family "Bacterial small subunit ribosomal RNA", at positions 509 to 809 of the family's 1533-position model. The record is from RNAcentral.
CAGUAGCCGCGGGAACACGUAGGGUGCGAGCGUUAAUCGGAAUUACUGGGCGUAAAGCGUGCGCAGGCGGUUCGUUAAGACAGAUGUGAAAUCCCCGGGCUUAACCUGGGAACUGCAUUUGUGACUGUAUGGCUAGAGUGUGUCAGAGGGGGGUAGAAUUCCACGUGUAGCAGUGAAAUGCGUAGAUAUGUGGAGGAAUACCGAUGGCGAAGGCAGCCCCCUGGGAUAACACUGACGCUCAUGCACGAAAGCGUGGGGAGCAAACAGGAUUAGAUACCCCCGUAGUCCCUGUCUCUUAUAA